This 465-nucleotide ribosomal RNA is filed under the name Vreelandella stevensii. RNAcentral describes it as "partial 16S ribosomal RNA". It matches the Rfam family "Bacterial small subunit ribosomal RNA", at positions 338 to 795 of the family's 1533-position model. Lineage: Bacteria; Pseudomonadati; Pseudomonadota; Gammaproteobacteria; Oceanospirillales; Halomonadaceae. The record is from RNAcentral.
CCUACGGGGUGCAGCAGUGGGGAAUAUUGGACAAUGGGCGAAAGCCUGAUCCAGCCAUGCCGCGUGUGUGAAGAAGGCCUUCGGGUUGUAAAGCACUUUCAGUGGGGAAGAAAGCCUUGGGGCUAAUACCCUCGAGGAAGGACAUCACCCACAGAAGAAGCACCGGCUAACUCCGUGCCAGCAGCCGCGGUAAUACGGAGGGUGCGAGCGUUAAUCGGAAUUACUGGGCGUAAAGCGCGCGUAGGCGGUCUGAUAAGCCGGUUGUGAAAGCCCCGGGCUCAACCUGGGAACGGCAUCCGGGACUGUCAGGGUAGAGUGCAGGAGAGGAAGGGAGAAUUCCCGGUGUAGCGGGGAAAUGCGGAGAGAUCGGGAGGAAUACCAGUGGCGAAGGCGGCCUUCUGGACUGACACUGACGCUGAGGUGCGAAAGCGUGGGUAGCAAACAGGAUUAGAUACCCUAGUAGUC